ACACUAAAGACGUGUGGAAUCAAACUUUCCUCCUUCUUCUUUCUCCUCUCGGCUGUCGCAGGACUCAGGCCCGACCUGACGCGUUUUCAGCACCGCCUCUGAACCAAUGAAAGCAGAAAGUUAAGAGGAAGUCUGAUUGGUUUUGGGCUUGACGGAGACAUCAGCUUCAAUUUCUGGCAGCGUGUUGGAGGAAAGCUCUCAGGACAGGAAGUCUAAAGCAUCACCUGCUAUUCUCUCCCUCCCCAAGUCAAUUUUCUGCUGUAAAUCAUAGUGGCAGAGGAGGGGGAUUAAAAGAGGAAUAAGAGGGAAUGGGAGCUCUUACUGCAAAGACACAGCUUGAAUAAAAUCAAGUAUUUCUGUUUCACCUGA
This is a long non-coding RNA of Poecilia latipinna (sailfin molly), 369 nucleotides long. RefSeq lists it as uncharacterized. The record is from RefSeq and is a predicted model, not a curated record. The transcript has 2 exons. Lineage: Eukaryota; Metazoa; Chordata; Actinopteri; Cyprinodontiformes; Poeciliidae.